RNAcentral lists this ribosomal RNA (253 nucleotides) under uncultured bacterium. Its description in RNAcentral is "partial 16S ribosomal RNA". It matches the Rfam family "Bacterial small subunit ribosomal RNA", at positions 524 to 776 of the family's 1533-position model. The record is from RNAcentral.
UACAGAGGGGGCAAGCGUUGUUCGGAAUUACUGGGCGUAAAGGGCGCGUAGGCGGCCUUCUAAGUCGAACGUGAAAUCCCUGGGCUCAACCCAGGAACUGCGUCCGAUACUGGUUGGCUUGAAUCCGGGAGAGGGAUGUGGAAUUCCAGGUGUAGCGGUGAAAUGCGUAGAUAUCUGGAGGAACACCGGUGGCGAAGGCGGCAUCCUGGACCGGCAUUGACGCUGAGGCGCGAAAGCCAGGGGAGCAAACGGG